AUGUUUCUCCAGGAAUCAUUUGCUUACUUAGUAAUAUUCCUAUUCAUAUUAUACGAUGAUAUGCUUUCCUUUUGUGAUCAUUGUUGUUGUUUGCGCGGGCUAGGUGUGGAUAACAUCGGGCUUUACCAAAUACAUUUGCCUGACCGUUAUGUUCCCCUAUUUGGAGAGAUGGAAUACAAUCAAAGCUGCAAGUACGCGUUGUACAGAUAG
This 210-nucleotide ribosomal RNA is filed under the name Triticum aestivum (bread wheat). Its description in RNAcentral is "partial small subunit ribosomal RNA". Lineage: Eukaryota; Viridiplantae; Streptophyta; Magnoliopsida; Poales; Poaceae. The record is from RNAcentral.